AUCAUGCCCAAGGAAGCAGCAUGGCCAGGCAGCCAGACCCAAAUGAGGUGGAGGAGUGAGGUCAAGGCAUAGAGUCUUCGACUUCAGCAACCUUCGCAGUGCGUUUGACAGCAGUAGUUGAGAGUCUAAUGCAGCCUAAGAGGCUAUAUCCUUGAAGUAGGGAAGGAUCAGAUCAUAAGGAAUAAUUUCAGCUGCCCUUUCUCCAUCAUCCUAAUCCAACUAUGGCCUGCAUUACCAGCCAGAGAGGUAAGUAGCA
This 256-nucleotide long non-coding RNA is filed under the name Fukomys damarensis (Damara mole-rat). RNAcentral describes it as "lncRNA (ENSFDAG00000027493.1)". Lineage: Eukaryota; Metazoa; Chordata; Mammalia; Rodentia; Bathyergidae. The record is from RNAcentral.